Long non-coding RNA from Leopardus geoffroyi (Geoffroy's cat), 5467 nucleotides. RefSeq lists it as uncharacterized. The transcript has 2 exons. NCBI's taxonomy places the organism in Eukaryota, Metazoa, Chordata, Mammalia, Carnivora, Felidae. The record is from RefSeq and is a predicted model, not a curated record.
CCUGGCUGAAGUCGGACGCUUAACCGACUGCGCCACCCAGGCGCCCCUAUAAUAACAUAUUUCUUACAAAAUAACAAAAAGGAACUUAUAGAUUGCAGCCAACACUGUGCUUAUAGUUAAAUUUGUACACUUAAAGGUUUCAUUAUAAAGUUUUUUUUUUUUUUAAAGCAAGGCAAAUAUACUAAACAAACAAGUUAUCAAGAGGAGGGGGCCUUAAGGAAAUCUAUUCAUGAAUAAGGAGAUGUUAGAACAUACAUUAAGUAAUGGACAGGAAGCUCAAAAACCUCAAUGGUAUUUAUAUUAGUGAAAAACUAGAUGUAAUCUAAACAACAGAAAACUGUAUUGAUUUUAGUGAGAAUUUCCAGUUAGGUUUCUUCUGUGAUUAAAAAUCAUAUUUACACAUAUUUUAACGAAACGCUACAAAGUCUUUAAAUAAAAAGGUGGCAUAUAAAAUUUUAUACAUUAAGUAAUACCAACCGUAUGAAAACAAAAAGAGAAAACACUUAAACAUAGAAAAACCACAGUUACAUCUACAGGUUAAAACAUGGAUAACAUUUUUUAACAUUUUUCUAGAUUUUCCCUAUUUUGUAAAACGGGUAAUUCAUUACUUCGAUAAUCAAGGAGAAAAUCACACUAUUUUUAAACUGAGUGCCCAGUACGAGAAUGCAGCUCUCACCUUUUCUUUUUUAAACUGAAGUAUAAAUGACAUAUAACAUUAUGUUGGUUUCAGGAGCACAACAACAAUUUGACAUUUGUAUACAUUACAAAGUGAUCACCACAGUGAAGUCUCGUUAAACAUCCAUUACCACACAUGGUGACAAAAUAUUUUUUCUUAUAAUGAAGACUUUUAAGAUCUACUCUCUUAGCAACUUUCAAAUAUGCAGUACAAUAUUAUUACCUACAGUUCACCAGGCUGUACGUUAAAUCUUCAGGACUUAUUUAUGACUGAAGUUUAUAUUUUCUGACCCUCUUCACCCAUUUCAACCACCCUCCAAUCCCCACUUCUGGCCACCACCAAGCUGUUCCUUGUAUCUAUGCAGCUCUCGCCAUUCAUAUUAACACUAUUCAAGCUCCUACUUCUGCUUUAAGUACUAUUAAUUAUGCCUGGACAUUUAGGGGAAAAAUUGAGCUUGUUACUCAGAUUGUUACAAACAGAAAACUGAACUUGAAUAAUUUACAGAACAAGAAACAUGUUAUUUUCAAGUUUGCUGAGAUCAGUGAUCAGUAACUGUCCUGUGCCUACUAAGUCAGUGCUACAUUUCAAACCACUCCCACUGAAACCCAGUUAAACCUACACAUCCCUCCGUGACACUGGCUCUCACAAAGAGCUACACGAUCAGGACUUCCCAGGUGACUCUUCAAUACAGCUUAUGGAGCUAUUUUUCCGUCAAGAUGCCAAAUGUAAAAAUAAACCCAGCUGUUUGGAAGCUGUCAUGUUUUAUUCGAAAAAUUAUGAUUUCCCUAUAAAUCUGUGAUUUCUAAAGUCUGAGGAGACUUGAGGCAUUCUUAAAUGUAAUAUUGCCUGUAUCUUGGUGUAAUGGCUUUUCAUCUAGGUGAGUAUCUCUCUGCGUUUAUAAAGAAAAUAUAAAUGAAAAUCAAUUCAGUAUCCAAAAAUUCAGGUGACACAGAAUUUCGAGGAUGCCUCUAUUCUAUAAAGUAAGAUUAUGCCUUUCUGUUUUGGGUCUCUAUGAUGAAAGAAUUCUAGAACAGUAGUUAUCCUUGCCUCAUACACUAAUUGAAAGCACAGGGAUCUCUCAGAGGGUACUUUCUGUUUCUGCACCAGAGCUCCUCCAAAAACCGUCACAACAGCAGCAAAUUAAACCAGGGGAGUUUGAGAAGCCAGCGCAUCGUGAACAGGGCCAAGACUGUCCCAAGCUGACUUCAUGUGGUUUCUACCUCGCUAAAGAACAUUUCUGCUGAGCUUUCUAUUCUUCAUUCACUCCAAUUAAACUGCAGUGAUUCACCAGUUAUUACCACCACAGCCAUACACGUGUUGAAGAGAAGAUCAUGAUUAUAAUCUGCACAAUUACCGACGGCUAGAUAGCAUGCCUACACACGGUGUUUUGAAAAACAGCUUCAUUUCCGAUGGAGAUCAGGACAGCAAUAAAACAGUUCCACAGUCUCUUCACUAAAUACAUCUUUGUUUGCAUGGUCUGUGUAUACUGUCAUGGGGCAGGUGCGGGAAAAUGUAAAAUAUAAAUAUUUAAAAUCCAACUGAGCUGCUGUGAAGUCAAUGACAAAGAAAAAUACAAACAUGGGGGCUUCAUGCAUACGGCUAAAUACAUAAAUAACUAUGAAAUCACCAAAACAAAGCAACACAUCCAUAUUUCUUACUGGUGCUUAUUAUAAUUCAACAGCAAUAUAUUUUCAUUAAUCCUGAGCCAUCUGAAAAAUAUGUCAAGCAACACUUAACUUCAUUGAGUCUGAAGCCCCAAAUAAAGUUACCAAUAGUGAGCAACAUCAUUAGAUGUGCUUCGUAUUUAAGAAGAAAUUGUUCAUUAGACUUGGUUUGUAUUUAAGAAGAAAUGGUUAUCCAACUCUCUUCACCCCACACAGUCAUUUGAAUCCUCCUUAGUCUUCAUGUAGCCAGGCUGACUAGCAGCAGGACACAGUAGGGGUGAGCAGAAUUCAGCUGCCCAAAGAAAAGUCAAAGGACAAACUGAUUUUGUUAAACGUCUUUUUUUUUUUUUUUUUAAGGCUACCCAGAGGUGGAAUCCUGGAUGAUGUCAGUCCAACUUAUCUGACAAAACUUAAAAUUGUAUCUACUUGGAUGAAAGUCAAUGAGCUAACCACCUCUGUAUCUUCCACUUGAGAAGUUACGACUCUUAAGAAGGACAUAAAAAUAGUUUUUUAACCAAAUUAUAGUCCUUUAGCUGCAAACCCAAAUAAUCAGCAAUUCACAAGGAAAGUGAAGAGAAAGCAAAAGAUGGAGGCAUUCUGGCUAUUAGAAGAAACAAAGAGCAGACUUCAGAAAACCCAAACAACAAAGCAUAUUUCCAUAUCUGAAAAUAUGCUGAACCAAAUAACCCAAAGAGCCCUCCUGAAACACCUAUUUUACAAUGCAUCACUACAUUAUUUGUAUUCUUAUUUGGGGGUAAAAACACAUAAAAGAUAUUUAGGGACAACGGGGGAAUGUGAAUACAGAUUAGGUAGUAGAUAAAUAUUAGAGAACUCUUACUCAUGUGCUACAGUAGAGUCGUUCUAUAGCAGAAUGUCCUUACUUUGACAAGAUACACAGCAAAACAUCCAGGGUAAGUUUCAUGAUACCUGCAACUGACUUCCAAAUGGCUCAAGAAACACACACACAUACACACACACACACACACACAUGCACACAGCUGAUAUGGCAAAAAAAUUAAUAAUUAGUGACUUUAGGUAAUAUCCUUCCUGUCUUAUCCUUUUACCUUUUCUUCAUGAUUGAAAGUUUUUACAAUAAAAGAUGAAGAAAGGGGCCCCUGGGUGGCUCAGUCAGUUAAGUGUCUGACUUCAGCUCAGGUCACGAUCUCACGGUUCGUGGGUUCAAGCCAGGCAUCAGGCUCUGUGCUGAACGCUUGCUCAGAGUCUGGGGCCUACUUCAGAUUCUGUGUCUCCUUCUCUCUCUGCCCCUCCUCCACUCGCACUCUGUCUCAGUCUGUCUCUCAAAAAUAAAUAAAUGCAAAAAAUAAAAAAGUGUUUUAAAGAUGAAGAAAAGUUAAGGCAUUUAAGAAGGUCUAUUUAAAAACAGAAAAUUGGGGCUCCUGGGUGGCGCAGUCGGUUGAGCGUCCGACUUCAGCCAGGUCACGAUCUCGCGGUCUGUGAGUUCGAGCCCAGCGUCAGGCUCUGGCCUGAUGGCUCAGAGCCUGGAGCCUGUUUCCGAUUCUGUGUCUCCCUCUCUCUCUGCCCCUCCCCCGUUCAUGCUCUGUCUCUCUCUGUCCCAAAAAUAAAUAAACGUUGAAAAAAAAAAUAAAUAAAAACAGAAAAUUGAAAAAUAAAAUUCAUCAUUGAGAUGAUAAAAAAAGAAAAGUAUCCUUAGAUAAUUACACUGAAGCAAAAGCAAUAAACCUGAGAGAUUAGGUAACUUCUCCAGCUAGCUUUCUCCCUGGAUAAAUCUGGCUAAGCCAGGGAACCCUGAACUUGCACCUGAGAGCCACCUGGGCCACACCCAGAGUGGGAACUCUAAAACCAGACUCCUGAACAGACCUGGGCUCCAGAGGAUGACACCCUUAGAACAAAUUAUAAUAAACCCAUUCCACAUUAGGAACAGUAGGGAAACUGCCAGUCUAGACCUAAGCACUAGAUAGAGUGGGAUACUUUUUUCUAGAGAACUUAUAACCAUAACUUGGCAAUUGGCCAAGCCUGCACCCUAAAUUAACAUUAUCUUUCUGGUCCAAGAAGCCUCAAGCACAAAAAUUAACCUUUGAGAGAUCUAGGGCUGUUAAAGCCCUCGUUAGCCACCAGAAGAAGGGCAAAUUCAUUCUGGAUGAAUACACUUCCAAUACAAACUUCAACAAAUUUCAAAAGAGCCUGAGCUUAUGGUUUAAACACACACACACACACACACGCACGCACGCACGCACAUAAAACAAGGAAACAAAGACUUAUGAGAAAGUCUCAGCAGAAAUACCACAUAGCUGAAUUAAAAAGAUCUCAUAAUUUGGAUUGUCAGAAUUUAAAGUAAGUGUUUAAUAUGUUUAAAGAUACAAGAAAUGGAAAAUAUGAGAAAGGAUAAAAAAUGUUGUAAUGUCUAAGCCAAAAAAACUUCCAGAACUGAAAAAUAACAGUUACAAUUUAAAAUGCUAAUUUGAAAAUUGGCAAUGAUCCUUAAAUCCUACAAUGUCAAACGUUGGUGAAGAUUUGAAACAAUGCAAACUCUGGUACACAGAUGGUUCGGUAUAAAUGUAUACAGUCCCUUUGGAAAAGGAUUUGAUGUUAUCUAGAGAAGCUGUGAAAAGCAUACUUAUGACCCAACAAUUCCAUCACAAAUUAUACAUGCUACAAAAACUCCUGUAUACAUUCAACAGAGGUAGGUUCAUGAAUGUUAUGGCAAUGAAGUAACAGUUAAAAGGAAAGCAAAUUAAACUAUGAUACAUUUACAUAAUAGAAAACUAUACAGCAGUGAAACUGAAUGAGCUACAGCUACAUUCAUCAUGGAUAAAUUUCAGAAUACUAAACUAAAAAAAGGAAGAAAAGGAAGUAGAAAAACAACAAGCAGAAUCUGACUUCACUUAUUUUUUUCAAUGUUUAUUUAUUUGAGAGAAAGCACGUGUUCAAAGGGGAGAGGGGCAGAGAAAGGGGGAGAGAUGCAGAGCUUGAUCCCAUGAACCUGAGAUCAUGACCUGAGCUGAAAUCAAGAGUCGGAUGUUUAACUGAUUGAGCCUCCUAGGAGUCCCUAUAUGUUUUUAACUUUGUUUAAAUGAACUCAGAUUGGAGCACCAUAAUGAAAAAAAUUAUUUAACAAAAUCAGAAAACAACAAGAUGCUUCAGUAUC